UGCCUUGGACCAGACGAAGCCUACGUCAUGCUGUGGGAGUUGAAGGACGACGAAGUCAUCUUCGAAGUUCAGGUGAGGACGCAGGGGUACGUGGGCCUCGGCUUCUCCCCCAACGGCGGUAUGAAGGGCGCCGACGUCGUGCUCGGCUGGGUCGCAGACGACGGAAAAGUCAUGCUGCAAGACCGCUAUGCCACGGACUACACCACGCCAGAU
This is a long non-coding RNA of Penaeus monodon (black tiger shrimp), 213 nucleotides long. RefSeq lists it as uncharacterized. The transcript is spliced from 3 exons. The record is from RefSeq and is a predicted model, not a curated record. NCBI's taxonomy places the organism in Eukaryota, Metazoa, Arthropoda, Malacostraca, Decapoda, Penaeidae.